This is a long non-coding RNA of Ictidomys tridecemlineatus (thirteen-lined ground squirrel), 1597 nucleotides long. RefSeq lists it as uncharacterized. The record is from RefSeq and is a predicted model, not a curated record. Lineage: Eukaryota; Metazoa; Chordata; Mammalia; Rodentia; Sciuridae.
AAAGAUAUGGAAGUGAAGAAAGUAAAUGUUCAGCACAUUAUUUUGGACAAAAUAAGAUCUUGCUGUAUAUCAAAUAGAAUUUUCCUUAGAAAAAAUGUGGUUGGGAAUAAUAAUCAAAAACAGACUCUGAGAUGUUUGAAAAUCAUAGUUUAAGCAAGAUCAAUAAAAAUAAGUCUUCAAUUAGGCAUAUUAUAGAUUUAAGAAUACUAGGGGGCUGGGAUUGUGGCUCAGUGGUAGAACACUUGCCUAGCAUGUGUGAGGCACUUGGUUUGAUCCUCAGCACCACAUAUAAAUGAGAUGAAUAAAAUAAAGGUCCAUCAAUGUCUAAAAAAUAUUUAUAAAAAGACAUUUUAAAAAAGAAUACUAGGAACAAGAAAAUUUACAACAAUUGAAAGAAUAAUAUGUUUAUAAAAACAAAUCAUAAAUGUAUUAUUUAUUAUUCAAUACCAGUAGUAGAAACCAGAAUAAAUUCUAUUGUAUCCUUAAACUGUGCCAAAGUAAUCAAAGUAGAAUUUGAUUCCAAGCUAACCUAUCAUCAAGGGUGUCUGAAAUACACACAUGCUUACAUGAAUACAUAGGGCAUACACUGAAAGGCUUGAUUUCAUAAGUAAUGAGUAACUGCUAGGGUAUGUUAAAACAAGGUAAAGUCCUAUUUCAAAAUUGAUAUGUGUGUGUUCAAAGAAAACUCAAAAAGAUAGAUCUAUAAUACUAUAAUAACAUUUACACAGUAAAAGUUUAGAGGAUUAAAACCUUUUAAGGUUGUUCAGUUACUGGGAAAAAAGAGGUGCUGGAUAAAUUUAUUCUUAACAUUUUAUUUCCAUAAUUCAGUUGUGUGAAACCACAAUAGGAAAUAAAACAUAUCAAUAGAAGGGAAGAAAUGAAGUAACAUUAAGGAAGGGUAGAAACAUUGAUCAAUAGAGGAGCAUGCAGGGAAGGACUAAUUGAAAAAGCUAAUGUAUAAUAAAGUCUUACCUCGGAUUGUACACAGCCUCUUCAGUUACUGCCAUUUGCAUCAUGCAGCCAGGACUUUGAACUCUCCUUCUGCCAAAUGUUAACUGGGUGAAUUCUCUGAAUCUCAGUUUCUUCUAUAAAAUGAGAAUAAUACUACUUAUCUUAAAGGGUUGUUUUCAGAACCCUCAAUGAAAGUAGGGCUUUACCAUAAUCCCUUACUUUGCAUCCUUGGCUUAUAGUUUUAACACCACUUCUUUUUUUUUUCCUUUUUCUUUUUUCUUUUUUUUGUAAUUCUUAGUGAAACAGCAUUUAACAUUACCACUCAAAUUUUGUGUCAAAAAUACAUUUGUAAACUACUAGCAUAUUAGAAUUUUGUUAUCUAUGACUUCCUUUAUUUUGCCAGAUCCUUUCUGCCAGGAUUGGCAAUGCCUAGCUCAUCUUGCAGAUUGGCAAUGCAAAAUAGGCUGCAUGGGAUUCAGAAUGAAAUAGAAGAAUGACCUGGCUGACAUCAAUGUCCUGCAAAAGGUGCCAGAUGAGCUGACCCUAGCUAGAGCUGAACUGGAGAUGCUGACUGAGAACCUGACGGAAGAGUUGGCCUAUCUGAAGUAGAAUCAAUCAUGAGGAGGCCAAAAUUUGAUUUUUUUUU